RNAcentral lists this ribosomal RNA (569 nucleotides) under uncultured bacterium. Its description in RNAcentral is "bacterial SSU rRNA". It matches the Rfam family "Bacterial small subunit ribosomal RNA", at positions 31 to 615 of the family's 1533-position model. The record is from RNAcentral.
AUAAGCUGGCGGCGUGCCUAACACAUGCAAGUCGCACGUCCUGUCUGGUUUCGGCCAGGCAGGGAGUGGCGGACGGGUGAGUAACACGUGGGUGACCUACCCUGUGGUGAGGAAUACCGGCGAGAAAUCGCCGACAAGACCGCAUACGCUCUCGCAAGAGAGCAAAGCUGCUGACGCAAGUCAGUAGCGCCAGAGGAUGGGCCUGCGGCCGAUUAGCUGGUUGGUGAGGUAAGGGCUCACCAAGGCGACGAUCGGUAGCUGGUCUGAGAGGACGAUCAGCCACACUGGGAUUGAGAACGGCCCAGACUCCUACGGGGGGCAGCAGUGAGGAAUUUUCCGCAAUGGAGGCAACUCUGACGGAGCAACGCCGCGUGCAGGACGACGCGUUUCGGCGUGUAAACUGCUUUUCUGGGGGACGAGGACGGACGGUACCCCAGGAAGAAGCCCCGGCUAACUACGUGCCAGCAGCCGCGGUAAUACGUAGGGGGCGAGCGUUGUCCGGAGUUACUGGGCGUAAAGGGCACGCAAGCGGUGCGGCGCGUGUCGCGUGACAACGGGUGGCUUAACUG